AUUGAACGCUGGCGGCAGGCCUAACACAUGCAAGUCGAGCGGAUGAAGGGAGCUUGCUCCUGGAUUCAGCGGCGGACGGGUGAGUAAUGCCUAGGAAUCUGCCUGGUAGUGGGGGAUAACGUCCGGAAACGGGCGCUAAUACCGCAUACGUCCUGAGGGAGAAAGUGGGGGAUCUUCGGACCUCACGCUAUCAGAUGAGCCUAGGUCGGAUUAGCUAGUUGGUGGGGUAAAGGCCUACCAAGGCGACGAUCCGUAACUGGUCUGAGAGGAUGAUCAGUCACAUGGGAACGGAGACAGGGUCCAGACGCCUACGGGAGGCAGCAGUGGGGAAUAUUGGACAGUGGGCGAGAGCAUGGUCCAGCGAUGCGGCGUGUGUGAAGAAGGUCUUCGGAUUGUAAAGCACGUUAAGUUGGGAGGAAGGGCAGUAAGUUAACACCUUGCUGUUUUGACGGUACCAACAGAAUAAGCACCGGCUAACUUCGUG
Molecule: ribosomal RNA, 484 nt
Filed under: uncultured bacterium
Lineage: Bacteria
Description: partial 16S ribosomal RNA
Rfam family: Bacterial small subunit ribosomal RNA
Source: RNAcentral